ACCAGGAAGCCCUUCAACGUUCCAAACAAGAACAACAAUCUCUGUUAGAAAGUCUGCAAAGUGCAGAACAGCUCAAUGAAGAAUGUGAGGAAAGUAGAAAAGCUAUUGCUACAGCAUUAGAAAGCAACAAAGAGGAGAAUGCAAAGGUCAUUGCCAAGAAAGACUCAAGCUUGGAAGAGCUCAACAAAAUAAAAGAUCAACAAGCAGACAAGCUUGUACAGAUUCAGGCCACAGCCCAGGAAUUUCAGACAUCAUUAACAGUUGAGAUACAGAGGGCAAAAGAACUUGAACUGAAGCUUACGGCAGUCACAGAGGAACUUCACAGGAAAAACCUUGAAUUAGGAGAGAUCAAAGAACAGAAAGAAAAGAAAGACAGACAGUUACAAAUCUCUUGAAGAUGAAUUGGAUGUCAAAAAUAAAUCCAUACAGUCACUAGAGGAAACKAUUAAAGUUGUGGAGACCAGAACAUCAGAACUCACCACAGAGCUUGAGGGGAAACAUGCUGAAAUUCACCACGUUAAGAAUAAAGUGGAAAACAUUUCUGUUGAAAACAUUUUACUGGAAAAGGCUCUUGGAAAUGCUGAAACGAUGCAAAACGACUUGAAAGAAAAAGCCAAUAUGACUGAGAGGAAAAUAAAAGAGAUUGAGGGGCAGUUAUCUGCUGCAAUGAGAAGAGAUGAAAAAUCCAUCAAGGAGAAAGAGAAUCUAAAGACAGACAUUGUACAGCAUGAGGUGAAGUAUAAGGAGCUAUUAGCAAGUUUCAAUCAGCUGCAGCUUGAGAAGAAGACUAUUCUGGAGCAGAUUCAGAAUGAAUCCUCAGAGGCAAACAUUCUGGUAGCACAACUUAAGGAGAGCGAGGCAAAAGAGAUGAAGAUGAAGAAGGAAAUUGAAAGACUCCAAGAAGAAAACCACCAAUUACG
Salvelinus sp. IW2-2015 is the source of this 920-nucleotide non-coding RNA. The record is from RefSeq and is a predicted model, not a curated record. Lineage: Eukaryota; Metazoa; Chordata; Actinopteri; Salmoniformes; Salmonidae.